This 429-nucleotide ribosomal RNA is filed under the name Gemmatimonadota bacterium. Its description in RNAcentral is "Gemmatimonadetes bacterium partial 16S ribosomal RNA". It matches the Rfam family "Bacterial small subunit ribosomal RNA", at positions 355 to 776 of the family's 1533-position model. The record is from RNAcentral. Lineage: Bacteria; Pseudomonadati; Gemmatimonadota.
UAGGGAAUCUUCGGCAAUGGACGAAAGUCUGACCGAGCAACGCCGCGUGAGUGAAGAAGGUUUUCGGAUCGUAAAACUCUGUUGUUAGAGAAGAACAAGGACGUUAGUAACUGAACGUCCCCUGACGGUAUCUAACCAGAAAGCCACGGCUAACUACGUGCCAGCAGCCGCGGUAAUACGUAGGUGGCAAGCGUUGUCCGGAUUUAUUGGGCGUAAAGCGAGCGCAGGCGGUUUCUUAAGUCUGAUGUGAAAGCCCCCGGCUCAACCGGGGAGGGUCAUUGGAAACUGGGACACUUGAGUGCAGAAGAGGAGAGUGGAAUUCCAUGUGUAGCGGUGAAAUGCGUAGAUAUAUGGAGGAACACCAGUGGCAAAGGCGGCUCUCUGGUCUGUAACUAACGCUAAGGCUCGAAAGCGUGGGGAGCAAACAGG